This 450-nucleotide ribosomal RNA is filed under the name uncultured Streptococcus sp. Its description in RNAcentral is "bacterial SSU rRNA". It matches the Rfam family "Bacterial small subunit ribosomal RNA", at positions 930 to 1382 of the family's 1533-position model. The record is from RNAcentral. Lineage: Bacteria; Bacillati; Bacillota; Bacilli; Lactobacillales; Streptococcaceae.
CGGUGGAGCAUGUGGUUUAAUUCGAAGCAACGCGAAGAACCUUACCAGGUCUGACAUCCCGAUGCUAUUUCUAGAGAUAGAAAGUUACUUCGGUACAUCGGUGACAGGUGGUGCAUGGUUGUCGUCAGCUCGUGUCGUGAGAUGUUGGGUUAAGUCCCGCAACGAGCGCAACCCCUAUUGUUAGUUGCCAUCAUUCAGUUGGGCACUCUAGCGAGACUGCCGGUAAUAAACCGGAGGAAGGUGGGGAUGACGUCAAAUCAUCAUGCCCCUUAUGACCUGGGCUACACACGUGCUACAAUGGUUGGUACAACGAGUUGCGAGUCGGUGACGGCGAGCUAAUCUCUUAAAGCCAAUCUCAGUUCGGAUUGUAGGCUGCAACUCGCCUACAUGAAGUCGGAAUCGCUAGUAAUCGCGGAUCAGCACGCCGCGGUGAAUACGUUCCCGGGCCUU